RNAcentral lists this ribosomal RNA (970 nucleotides) under Neisseria flavescens. Its description in RNAcentral is "bacterial SSU rRNA". It matches the Rfam family "Bacterial small subunit ribosomal RNA", at positions 28 to 988 of the family's 1533-position model. The record is from RNAcentral. Lineage: Bacteria; Pseudomonadati; Pseudomonadota; Betaproteobacteria; Neisseriales; Neisseriaceae.
AUUGAACGCUGGCGGCAUGCUUUACACAUGCAAGUCGGACGGCAGCACAGAGAAGCUUGCUUCUUGGGUGGCGAGUGGCGAACGGGUGAGUAAUAUAUCGGAACGUACCGAGUAAUGGGGGAUAACUAAUCGAAAGAUUAGCUAAUACCGCAUAUUCCCUGAGGAGGAAAGCAGGGGACCUUCGGGCCUUGCGUUAUUCGAGCGGCCGAUAUCUGAUUAGCUAGUUGGUGGGGUAAAGGCCUACCAAGGCGACGAUCAGUAGCGGGUCUGAGAGGAUGAUCCGCCACACUGGGACUGAGACACGGCCCAGACUCCUACGGGAGGCAGCAGUGGGGAAUUUUGGACAAUGGGCGCAAGCCUGAUCCAGCCAUGCCGCGUGUCUGAAGAAGGCCUUCGGGUUGUAAAGGACUUUUGUCAGGGAAGAAAAGGCUGUUGCUAAUAUCGACAGCUGAUGACGGUACCUGAAGAAUAAGCACCGGCUAACUACGUGCCAGCAGCCGCGGUAAUACGUAGGGUGCGAGCGUUAAUCGGAAUUACUGGGCGUAAAGCGAGCGCAGACGGUUACUUAAGCAGGAUGUGAAAUCCCCGGGCUCAACCUGGGAACUGCGUUCUGAGCUGGGUGACUAGAGUGUGUCAGAGGGAGGUAGAAUUCCACGUGUAGCAGUGAAAUGCGUAGAGAUGUGGAGGAAUACCGAUGGCGAAGGCAGCCUCCUGGGAUAACACUGACGUUCAUGCUCGAAAGCGUGGGUAGCAAACAGGAUUAGAUACCCUGGUAGUCCACGCCCUAAACGAUGUCAAUUAGCUGUUGGGCAACUUGAUUGCUUAGUAGCGUAGCUAACGCGUGAAAUUGACCGCCUGGGGAGUACGGUCGCAAGAUGAAAACUCAAAGGAAUUGACGGGACCCGCACAAGCGGUGGAUGAUGUGGAUUAAUUCGAUGCAACGCGAAGAACCUUACCUGGUCUUGACAUG